This is a long non-coding RNA of Hordeum vulgare subsp. vulgare (domesticated barley), 666 nucleotides long. RefSeq lists it as uncharacterized. The transcript has 2 exons. NCBI's taxonomy places the organism in Eukaryota, Viridiplantae, Streptophyta, Magnoliopsida, Poales, Poaceae. The record is from RefSeq and is a predicted model, not a curated record.
GGAAGGCAUUGUGGAGUAAUAAGUAGAUGAUGGGUUGCUAGAGUGACAUAAGCUUAAACCCUGGUUUAUGCGUUAUUUCAUAAGGGAUUGACUUGGAUCCACAUCAAAUGAAUUUCAAUUGCCACAAACCGAAGGAAAAGAAUUAUGUCCAACAGAAUACCACUUUAAGAAGAAGGGUAAGAUGAACUCCAAGAAGAACAAGAAGGGAGAUGGCUGAUUCAACUAUGGUUCUGAGGAACAUUGGGUCAUUAAAUUCCCAAACAAGUACAAGAAGCCAGGGUCGGACUCCAAGUCAGCAAAUAUGAUUAUGGGCAACAACGAAAGUGCUACAUAUAUGUCAUAGGUCAUGGGUCUGUAUUGAUGGGGAAUGGCGUGAGUGCUUCUAUUCUUGGUGUUGGCAAUUUUAAAUUUACUACGGGAUGGAUCAUGCAGCCAAAGAAUUUGUAGCAUGUCUCCACCAUCAAGAAGAACCUUGUUAGUGACUUCCAUUUCUGUAGAGAAGGGUUUAAGUUGGUGUUUGAGUCCAAAAAAGUAGUUGUUAUGAAAUAUGCAUUUUUUUUUGAAAAUGUUAUGAAUGCGGUUGUGUGUUCCGCCUUUCCCAUGCGGAUUUUGUAAUAAAGUCGUGAACAAUAUUCAUUCGAGUGUUAAUGAAUAUGAAGUUCGGCA